CAAAGGGGGGACCAGCUCCAUAUUAAUGCCCAUGAUUUUGGAAUGAGAUGUUUGACGAGCAGGUGUCCACAUACUUUUGGUCAUGUAGUGUAGUUUGUCAAAAGAAGGUGACAGUUGUUGUAUUCCUUGACUGUCUGUAGUGUAACUCCUUCCAAACCCACCUAUCAAGAGGUGCUGACUGAUGUGGAGGAGAGGAGCCACAAAAGGCAACAGGAAUACAACACGUAAAAUACACACACACACACACACACACACACACACACACAGGCGCAGAAAUACAACAUAAGCAAGACACAGAUAGCUUCCCCAAUAAUAUUACAUGACCAUUACAGUAUAAGAUGUCUGACAGCUCUCCUCUACUCCAUAUCCAUCCCUGUAGGUUCUGCCAGCAGACGAAACAGGAGAUAGCUGACAUCCACAGAGAUCGACUCAUCCACAACAUGGAACUCAACAGGAUGAAGAAAGAGAUUUUCAGUGACCGAAUGGAGGUGAAGAUCGCCAGCGAGGGAAUCAUGAAUAAAUGGAACCACCCCCCGUACCGCCAGCGUCUGCAGAAGGGAGAGGGGAAAGAGAGGAAAGAGGACUCAGAGGAGGUGAAGAAUACAAACCAACCUUCUGUUUCUCCAGAGAACCAAAAGACAGCUGGACAAUGACACUGCAACUUUCAGCACAGUGUCUCCCUCUCUCUCUCUCUUUCUCUUUAUGCCACUCAGAUCUACAGAACAUGAUGUCAGUGUUUUGUGCUACAUUAAUAUAUAUUUUACAUUUGUUUUCAUUGAAAUUCACCCAGAUGAUUUAAAUGCCAAUCUUCACACUUCACUAUCUAAAUCGCACUGUGAUUAUUUCCCUUCAGUCUGAUCUCCCUUUCUCAGACGCUGACUUGAAACAGUGUGUGUGUGUGUCGGGCCAGAGCAGGGCCAGUGUGUUUUAUGACAGGCUCAUGUCCUGCCUGAGUGAAGUCAUGAAGGCUCAUUACAGAAACAUAUUACCUCUCAGAGACUCACAGCACACCAGAGAAUAGAGAGAGAGAGAGAGAGAGAGAGUGUGUGUGUGUGUGUGUGUGUGUGUGUGUGUGUGUGUGUGUGUGUGUGUGUGUGUGUGUGUCAGAAGAAGAAAACAAAUCUACAGUAAAAUGAAUGAUACAUACAGCAAACAAAAAAAGUUAUAAAAAAAUACAAUGCUAGAGCUUGAGACUAAGGUUCUAUCUGCAAAAAGAUCAUUCUGAGAUAACUGGCUUUAAAGUUCCGAACCCUCAUUGGUUUGAAUAGUGUCAGCAAUUUUGAUAUUGUAUUAUUUUGAACUUAACAUGAAAUGGGGGUAUUUAAUGUUCUAUACAGGUAGAGAACAUUGAACAGAACAAGGCUAUGUCAAUAACUACAUUCUGACUAAAAUGCAGAUAGAACCUUCUAGUCCCAACAAUGACUUGUGAAAAGUAUUUUUUUAGAAUUUGAGUUCUUUCCACGUUCAUCUCAUUCCUGGUUCUGAGAAGCUAUGCCAUUCUCCUCUGGUUCUGAGAAGCUGUGACAUUCUCCUCUGGUUCUGAGAAGCUGUGACAUUCUCCUCUGGUUCUGAGAAGCUAUGACAUUCUCCUCUGGUUCUGAGAAGCUGUGACAUUCUCCCCUGGUUCUGAGAAGCUGUGACAUUCUCCUCUGGUUCUGAGAAGCUAUGACAUUCUCCUCUGGUUCUGAGAAGCUGUGACAUUCUCCUCUGGUUCUGAGAAGCUAUGACAUUCUCCUCUGGUUCUGAGAAGCUGUGACAUUCUCCUCUGGUUCUGAGAAGCUAUGACAUUCUCCUCUGGUUCUGAGAAGCUAUGCCAUUCUCCUCUGGUUCUGAGAAGCUGUGACAUUCUCCUCUGGUUCUGAGAAGCUAUGACAUUCUCCUCUGGUUCUGAGAAGUUGUGACAUUCUCCUCUGGUUAUGAGAAGCUGUGACGUUAUCCUCUGGUUCUGAGAAGCUGUGACAUUCUCCUCUGGUUCUGAGAAGCUGUGACAUUCUCCUCUGGUUCUGAGAAGCUGUGACAUUCUCCUCUGGUUCUGAGAAGCUGUGACAUUCUCCUCUGGUUCUGAGAAGCUAUGACAUUCUCCUCUGGUUCUGAGAAGUUAUGACAUUCUCCUCUGGUUCUGAGAAGCUGUGACGUUAUCCUCUGGUUCUGAGAAGCUGUGACAUUCUCCUCUGGUUCUGAGAAGCUGUGACAUUCUCCUCUGGUUCUGAGAAGCUGUGACAUUCUCCUCUGGUUCUGAGAAGCUAUGACAUUCUCCUCUGGUUCUGAGAAGCUAUGACAUUCUCCUCUGGUUCUGAGAAGCUGUGACAUUCUCCUCUGGUUCUGAGAAGCUGUGAAGUUUUCCUCUGGUUCUGAGAAGCUGUGACAUUCUCCUCUGGUUCUGAGAAGCUGUGACAUUCUCCCCUGGUUCUAAGAAGCUGUGACAUUCUCCUCUGGUUCUGAGAAGCUGUGACAUUCUCCUCUGGUUCUGAGAAGCUGUGACAUUCUCCUCUGGUUCUGAGAAGCUGUGACGUUCUCCUCUGGUUCUGAGAAUUUGUGACAUUCUCCUCUGGUUCUGAGAAUUUGUGACAUUCUCCUCUGGUUCUGAGAAGCUGUGACGUUCUCCUCUGGUUCUGAGAAACUGUGACGUUCUCCUCUGGUUCUGAGAAGCUGUGACAUUCUCCUCUGGUUCUGAGAAGCUGUGACGUUCUCCUCUGGUUCUGAGAAGCUAUGACAUUCUCCUCUGGUUCUGAGAAGCUGUGACAUUCUCCUCUGGUUCUGAGAAGCUGUGCCAUUCUCCUCUGGUUCUGAGAAGCUGUGACGUUCUCCUCUGGUUCUGAGAAGCUGUGACAUUCUCCUCUGGUUCUGAGAAGCUGUGACAUUCUCCUCUGGUUCUGAGAAGCUGUGAUGUUCUCCUCUGGUUCUGAGAAGCUGUGACAUUCUCCUCUGGUUCUGAGAAGCUGUGACAUUCUCCUCUGGUUCUGAGAAGCUAUGACAUUCUCCUCUGGUUCUGAGAAGCUAUGACAUUCUCCUCUGGUUCUGAGAAGCUAUGACAUUCUCCUCUGGUUCUGAGAAGCUGUGACAUUCUCCUGUGGUUGUGAGAAGCUGUGACAUUCUCAUCUGGUUCUGAGAAGCUGUGACAUUCUCCUCUGGUUCUGAGAAGCUGUGACAUUCUUCUCUGGUUCUGAGAAGCUGUGACAUUCUCCUGUGGUUCUGAGAAGCUGGGACAUUCUCCUCUGGUUCUCACCAUGUGAUGUGUUGACUGCCCCGUGAGAUAUCAAUAACUGUGCUUUGUCAGAAGUUUAUACUCCCCAGUGUUUCUGUUUCAGGAUCCCUAGAACACACAC
This is a long non-coding RNA of Salmo trutta (river trout), 3326 nucleotides long. The record is from Ensembl. NCBI's taxonomy places the organism in Eukaryota, Metazoa, Chordata, Actinopteri, Salmoniformes, Salmonidae.